CGCGGGGUAGAGCAGCUCGGUAGCUCGUCGGGCUCAUAACCCGGAGGUCGUAGGUUCAAAUCCUGCCCCCGCCACCA
Molecule: transfer RNA, 77 nt
Filed under: Mailhella sp.
Lineage: Bacteria; Pseudomonadati; Thermodesulfobacteriota; Desulfovibrionia; Desulfovibrionales; Desulfovibrionaceae
Description: tRNA-Met
Rfam family: tRNA
About the family: Transfer RNA (tRNA) molecules are approximately 80 nucleotides in length. Their secondary structure includes four short double-helical elements and three loops (D, anti-codon, and T loops). Further hydrogen bonds mediate the characteristic L-shaped molecular structure. tRNAs have two regions of fundamental functional importance: the anti-codon, which is responsible for specific mRNA codon recognition, and the 3' end, to which the tRNAs corresponding amino acid is attached (by aminoacyl-tRNA synthetases). tRNAs cope with the degeneracy of the genetic code in two manners: having more than one tRNA (with a specific anti-codon) for a particular amino acid; and 'wobble' base-pairing, i.e. permitting non-standard base-pairing at the 3rd anti-codon position.
Source: RNAcentral